GCGUGGUUAAAGACUUUGGUCGUGUGCUUUUCUCCCCCCAUUCCUUACCUGGUCACUUUCAAAAAAGUUGCACAGAGGAAAGCAACUCAACUGGACCCUCCUUUAUCCCCCAGCCAACUGACCGACACACCCACAUCGAUUGAUGAGGAAAUAUAUCGUAAUAUAAUAUUUAAAUCAGGAUGUGAAGCUGCAACCUAUAGAACAGGGCUCACACACAUAUUAACAAGUUCACUUCUGUCGAAACAUGUUUUCACUCGGAAUGGGAGAGUCCGGCAGAGGCACGAAAGGUCCAAGGCUGUGGAAAUUACUUCAGCAGUGGAUUCUACUACAAGCAGUUUUUUGGGGUCCAGAGGCUGCAGAUGGUGUCUGCCUGUGUGUUGACAAUGUUAAUUUCAGGACUUUUAAAGUUAGCCAGGUGAGAGAAGAAUGUUGCUUAAACUUCACUGGUUCUUACAUUGGCAGCCUCCAAUGGGAUGUCUUCACAACUUUGUCAGGAAUCAAGGUCCUGGACCUCUCAAAUUGUAACAUUUCUGACAUUCACAAAGUGGAUGAAAACCCAAGUUCUCUGGAGGCUCUAUACCUCGAUCACAAUCAGCUCGAACAAUUACCUUCUAAUUUCCUCAUAAAUGCACCCAGUUUAAAGAUCCUUCACCUGGAGAAAAACCAUCUUCAACAGUUACCAGAGAACAUUUUAAAGGCUUCAGACCAGAUUCAGGAGCUGUACCUAGAUACCAACAAUUUAAAAUCUAUACCUUCAAGUGUCUUUAAACCCAGCCUCAUGAUACUGUCUGUUUUCAAUAACACCUUGGAGUGCACAUGUGCCUUAUAUGAUGGCUUGGCAAAUUAUAUUACUAAAAAUCUAAGCAUCAGUGGAUCAGAAAAUAUGAUUAUGUGCUACACACUGACGCACCCUGAAGGUCUGAAUAUUAUAGACAUUCAUCACUCAGAUAUCUGCCGUUCCUAUGGUCUCACAGCUCUCUUUAUUUGCCUACCAUUGCUUGCAAUUCUUGUAGUGGUGUUAUGUUGCUAUUGCUGGAAAAGUAGAAGGUCUGAUUUUAAAGCCAUGAGACAAGACAGUCAAAUUUGCACCAUCGAGAAAUCUAGCUUUUCAAAUGUAGGGGAUCAUCAUUAUAUAACCUGCAGGACUCCAGAGACAACUCACAUUCCCACAGGAUAUGAAAACAGUAUUCUCGCAAGAAACCAGCUUAUGUUACGUCCUUCAACAGCAUUGCUGGGAAGUAACCGUGACUUGUAUGAAGAAGUGGAAAUUAAGCCAAGUGUUUCUGUUGACUCAGUCACAUGUGUUAAUGUGUCCAAUAAUAAAGUGGAAGAAGAAGGUGCAGUUGAGGAAGUCCAUGCUGAGCCAGCAUUGGUGAACGUCACAGAGGAGUUACAAGAGUCAGAUCAUCAAAGGCUCUACAUGAAUAAGUCAGCAAAUUACUACAAUCUAGUUCCUGAUAUUGAAUUAGAUGAUUCUGACCAUGGUGAAUAUGAAAAUAUCGAUUUGUCUUAAGUGAUGUGGGAUAAUUUGUAUAGGAGACUUCUCGAAAGCCAGAGUCAAACAUUUGACAGUAUGCAAGACUGCCUUGGGCUGAUGAAGAUGGACUGUAUUUUAGCACAUUCAUGUGAAGAUUAAAAACAGAAUAAUUGAUGGGAGAGACACAUUACUGAGGUUAAAUUAUAGACUUACCAUUGGGAUAAUGCCAAUAACAUUAUAACUGCUCGUUAAUAUGUGGGAUAUCAAAGUAGUGUUUUCACCUAGGUCCAAGAUGUAGUUCAAGUUUUAAGUUGCCAUUCUAUCAAUGAAAAGCAAAGUUCUGGCAAAUAAAUAUAAAAAGAAGUCAGGGAGUCAAAAGGGAGAGAAAACAUCCAAAAAGAUGCAUGUCCUAAUAUUUUCCUGGUAACUUUGAAUAUUUUUCAAAUAUAAUCCAAUUGGAAGUGUGGACUGUCUUUAUGACAGGCACCAAUAGUUCAGUCUAGGAGUUUGAAUCUAUCUUACCCUAACCCACCUGGCAAAAACUGAGUGGGUUUGGGGUGAAUACGAAGUUUAUGGCCAUUCUGAUUGAAAUUAAAGAGGGCAAAAUUAGACCAGGCAUAUUUGAAUUCACCCAUAACUCAAGUUAAGAUUAAAAUAGAGCAUCACCAGUUUGAUCAGAAUUCUAUAUCGUGUUUAUAGUGAUUCAUUGUUAAAUUCAAACAGCCAGUACAGGACAGAGAAAAGACUUGUCUUCUAAUGGUGUCAUCGUUUAUUAUAUCUUUGAAAUCUUACUUGCAAUACUUUCUGACAGGUGUAACUGUCUGUUCAGCUGGUUCAACAAGAUGUUUGGAAUGAACCUCCUGCCUGUCCUCAGGUCUCAAUAUUCUUGCAGGUCGGAAAAGAAACAGCCACGAUUAAAACAAGCUGUAACAUUAAUUUCGGAGAUGUGGGAGAACGGUAUGAGACAUGCCACACCAGCUGGGCUUUUCUGCCCCAUGGAGAAGAACA
Molecule: RNA transcript, 2485 nt
Organism: Stegostoma tigrinum
Lineage: Eukaryota; Metazoa; Chordata; Chondrichthyes; Orectolobiformes; Stegostomatidae
Gene: best4
Gene name: bestrophin 4
Exons: 3
Source: RefSeq, a predicted model, not a curated record